This 1214-nucleotide long non-coding RNA is filed under the name Manacus vitellinus (golden-collared manakin). RNAcentral's name for it is "lncRNA (ENSMVIG00005011373.1)". Lineage: Eukaryota; Metazoa; Chordata; Aves; Passeriformes; Pipridae. The record is from RNAcentral.
GAGCUGCUGUGGUCAGUGCUUCUGAGCCUGCAGUUGGUGAGGGGCUAAAAUAGGCUGUAUUUCAUGGAUGUGGGUGGCCAAGAUAACAAGAGCUCCGGACUGUUGUCUGCCCCGAUACAGCUCCAACAGCACACUCUCACAACACCGGACUGAGUCACCCCAAUAUGAAGUUUUUACAGCUUUGCAGCUCGUUCUCCUUCUGGGAGGGUGUGAGGAAAUGCAGGCAAGGCUUGUUGGGAGGAAUGGAAAUGGCCACUUGCCCACCACUCCCCUGGCAGCACACGGAUUGAACUGCUGUGAAUGUUCUGCCUGAGUGAAGAAACCUUUCCCGGGAGCAGCCUGAUGAGCUCAGCACGGAGCUGCACGGCCAGAUGGCUCCUGGGCCAGAGCUGACUCACGGCCACACAGCCCAGGCAGGCAAAACACCCCGGUACCUGCAGGAGUCACCGCAGCACUGCUGCACCCGCGCUCACAGCCAGGCAGCCCCACCGGGAGAAACCCAAGGUGUCCUGCCAACUGCCAUAAUUACAGUGUUGCAGAACCGAAACGGUGACGGCCCGAGUUACAGGAACAAGCAGAAAAGCACCAGCCUGAUGAACUCCCAACCCAGCCCCGAGAAGGUAUGACCACCGAGGGAGCAGAACAGAGGCAACUCUUCCAUUCUUACAGUGGCAAAAGAUGGUUGGACUGGGCCUCCUGCUGUGGGUCAGUGUUUCCAGCCCCACAUUCCAUGAACCUGAAGGAAGUCAGGGAUGUUGCAUGGGGGCUGUGUGACUACCUGGCACAUCAUUUCUCCAGCAGUUUCGAAUCAGGAGGCCACGUCUUGGCCAUUUUCUCCCAGAUGGACUACAACACCCAUCAGGCUGAGCUUGGCUUGGAUUACAGCCCUCCCUCCCCGGAGGUUGAAAGAGGAGAAAUGUAUCAUUUGGGAACGCGAAUGGGAAAAUGAGAGCAGCUCCCCUGCUGUCUGGAUGGCAGGUGUGCCUUUCCCCUUCGCAGGAAUGAACCAAAGAAAUUCUGAAGUAGAACAAAGCCCUCUCAGAGAAAAACACAUCCCCAGAGUUGCGGCGUGAGCUGAGACAGACACGCUGGAGUUCAACUGGGUCUGCUGGAGAGGAAGGUGGAGGUGUCAGGCUGGCACCAUAAAAAGCUGGGUAAACAUCAUGCCCAAGAAGAAAUUGUGGAAGCAAUAAACCUAAUAAAAUCCUGUAUCA